This is a long non-coding RNA of Sitophilus oryzae (rice weevil), 982 nucleotides long. RefSeq lists it as uncharacterized. The transcript is spliced from 4 exons. NCBI's taxonomy places the organism in Eukaryota, Metazoa, Arthropoda, Insecta, Coleoptera, Curculionidae. The record is from RefSeq and is a predicted model, not a curated record.
UGACAACUAAGUGUCCACUAUGUGGUUUACAUUAUAAAUAUUUAGUGCAGUUUCGAAAAGAUAUAAUUAGAUAUUACUUUGUCCAGAGUAUAAAAAGGGGAUUAAAAUAAAUGUGACUAUAAAUAUUUGCAGUUUUAUUUCACAUCAUGUAAAAAUUCUAUUGAUUUGACAGAUAAAUAUCAUUUAAAAAAAGUUCUAGAGAUUUUAUCCAAUGUUCCCAUCAAACACUUCAUUUAAUUCUAAACACACACACAAGCAAACAACAACACAACCAGUUUAAUAUAUUAUUAUUAAAUAAAACAUUUUAUCGAUAUUUCAAAUCAUUGCUCAUCUCUAAUAUAAAAUUUAAAAAAUAAAACCAGUAUCACAGGUUCAACGAUCUCAGAGAGAAUCGAGAACCAGAUACCUGCAGAUAUAAUCUCAGAUCGACCUCGCCUCUGCCGACCAGUUGCUUGUAAAAGACGGUUAGAUGGUUUGGUUGUAAAUUUCGCACCCAUUGCAAUAAAAUUAAGGAUAUUUUGAUAAACAUUAUUUGUGUUAGUUAAAGUUAAUAUCUAUAGUUUUGAACUAAAAUAUCAACAUGUUCAAUUGUACAUCUUGUGUUAAAUCUUUUAAUCGUAAAGAUAAUCUAUUACGCCAUAUGAGGACUGCCUGUAGCAAGUCAAGUUUUUUCAACCGAUGGUUUGGAAAGUCUGCUGAAAAAAGGAGAGAUUUUUGUAAAAAAAUCGGGAAUCGCAUGACAAAAUAUCGAUUUUCUGCAGAAUCGAUUUAAAUCGAACAUCCAUAGUCAAGAACCUACUAUAAAAGAACUUGCUUUUACCGCAGACUGCAACAAUAUUUCAAACGUGCAAGGUGUGUUUGACUUUGUUUCCAACUGUUUACAGAAUUAAAUUGAAAGAUGUUCACAUGUACAUCUUGUCAAAAAUCCUUUACUCGUAAAGACAACCUAUCUCACCACUUAAAGAAUACGUGCAAGAAGUCU